RNAcentral lists this ribosomal RNA (253 nucleotides) under uncultured bacterium. RNAcentral's name for it is "partial 16S ribosomal RNA". It matches the Rfam family "Bacterial small subunit ribosomal RNA", at positions 524 to 776 of the family's 1533-position model. The record is from RNAcentral.
UACGGAGGGUGCAAGCGUUAUCCGGAAUCACUGGGUUUAAAGGGUGCGUAGGCGGCUAGAUAAGUCAGAGGUGAAAGUUUGUCGCUUAACGAUAGAACUGCCUUUGAUACUGUUAAGCUUGAAAGUAGGUGAGGUUGGCCGUAUGUGACAUGUAGCUUUGUAAUGCAUAGAUAUGUCAUAGAACACCGAUUGCGAAGGCAGCUGGCUAACCUGACUUUGACGCCGAGGGACGAAAGCGUUGGUAGCUAACAGG